AUACUUACCUGGCAGGGGAGAUACCAUGAUCACGAAGGUGGUUUUCCCAGAGCGAGGCUUAUCCAUUGCACUCUGGAUGUGCUGACCCCUGCAAUUUCCCCAAAUACAGGAAACUCGACUGCAUAAUUUGCGGUAGUGGGGGACUGCGUUCGUGCUCUCCCCUA
RNAcentral lists this small nuclear RNA (164 nucleotides) under Neotoma lepida (desert woodrat). RNAcentral describes it as "U1 spliceosomal RNA". It matches the Rfam family "U1 spliceosomal RNA". From Rfam's summary of the family: U1 is a small nuclear RNA (snRNA) component of the spliceosome (involved in pre-mRNA splicing). Its 5' end forms complementary base pairs with the 5' splice junction, thus defining the 5' donor site of an intron. The record is from Rfam by way of RNAcentral. Lineage: Eukaryota; Metazoa; Chordata; Mammalia; Rodentia; Cricetidae.